UGGGGAAUAUUGCACAAUGGGCGCAAGCCUGAUGCAGCAACGCCGCGUGAACGAUGAAGGUCUUCGGAUCGUAAAGUUCUGUUGCAGGGGAAGAUAAUGACGGUACCCUGUGAGGAAGCCCCGGCUAAGUACGUGCCAGCAGCCGCGGUAAUACGUAGGGGGCUAGCGUUAUCCGGAUUUACUGGGCGUAAAGGGUGCGUAGGUGGUCUUUCAAGUCGGUGGUUAAAGGCUACGGCUCAACCGUAGUUAGCCUCCGAAACUGGAAGACUUGAGUGCAGGAGAGGAAAGUGGAAUUCCCAGUGUAGCGGUGAAAUGCGUAGAUAUUGGGAGGAACACCAGUAGCGAAGGCGGCUUUUUGGCCUGCAACUGACACUGAGGCGCGAAAGCGUGGGGAGCAAACAGG
RNAcentral lists this ribosomal RNA (403 nucleotides) under Verrucomicrobiota bacterium. Its description in RNAcentral is "Verrucomicrobia bacterium partial 16S ribosomal RNA". It matches the Rfam family "Bacterial small subunit ribosomal RNA", at positions 355 to 776 of the family's 1533-position model. The record is from RNAcentral. Lineage: Bacteria; Pseudomonadati; Verrucomicrobiota.